Molecule: long non-coding RNA, 636 nt
Filed under: Cricetulus griseus (Chinese hamster)
Lineage: Eukaryota; Metazoa; Chordata; Mammalia; Rodentia; Cricetidae
Description: lncRNA (ENSCGRG00015030384.1)
Source: RNAcentral
CAACUGAGCAGUCAUGCUUGUCCUUCUUGGAGACAGGUACAAGCAUGUGAGUGCAGAUACCCUCCAGAAGAGGGUGUAAGUCCCUUGGAACUGGAGUUACAGGUGCUGGGAACUAAACUCCAGUCCUCGGUGAGAGUAGUGAGCAGGCUUAAAAGAUGAAGCAUUCCCCUUUCUGCCGACUCAUCACAGACCAGACCAGAGUCCUCAUCCAGUGGCUGAUGGAAGCAGAGACAGACAUCCACAGAAAUACACUGAGCUGAAAUCUGGAACCUAGUUGAAGAGAGGGAGGAAUGAAGAACGAAGGGGUCUGUACCAGGUUGGAGAAACCCACAGAAACAGUUGGCCUGAAAAAGGGAAAGCAUAUGGACCCCAGACGCUCUUUGGGAGGCCAGUACGGGACUAAUCCAGCCCCUGAUCAUGGAUGCCAAUGGGGAGGCCCCUGCACUCCUGGGAGCCUCCGGAGGUGGACUGGUGUUUUGCCCUGUUGUGUGUGGGGGACUUCAAGAGCCCAUCCCACUUGAAGGGAUGCACUCUGUCUCUGAACACAUAGGGAGGGACCUAGGCCCAGCACAGGAAGAUUUGGUGGACUUGAUGGAGCCCUGGUUGGGGGCCCUACCCUGCCUGGGGAGUGGUGGG